AGCACCAGCCGGUUCCUUCCGCAGCUCCGCGCUCGGGGGCUGACGGGCGCAGUUCUUUGCAGUUGGUGGCCUGUAGAUGCCCGGGGUGCUGCAUCACGAUGCCUGGCUUCUCUUGUGACCAGACAGUUUGUCAGGGUCGGAGCAGCUGCCUGGGGCCUUGGACCAGAAUGCAGCUCAGGAUCCCGGUGCCUUCUUGACUCCGCAACACUGUGGUGCCCUCACGAAGCUUCCGUUUUCCAGGAAACAGCAGGGAGGAAAAGAGAGAACAACAGUGCCUGGGGACCACUCCUUGUCAAGGCGAAGCCCAGCCUAGGGUGGAUAUCGUUCCAGCAUCUCCCCAGUUCUUCUUCGCCCUCGCGGACUACUUU
RNAcentral lists this long non-coding RNA (368 nucleotides) under Equus asinus (donkey). RNAcentral's name for it is "lncRNA (ENSEASG00005029080.1)". Lineage: Eukaryota; Metazoa; Chordata; Mammalia; Perissodactyla; Equidae. The record is from RNAcentral.